This 497-nucleotide ribosomal RNA is filed under the name uncultured bacterium. RNAcentral's name for it is "partial 16S ribosomal RNA". It matches the Rfam family "Bacterial small subunit ribosomal RNA", at positions 28 to 507 of the family's 1533-position model. The record is from RNAcentral.
GAUGAACGCUGGCGGCGUGCCUAAUACAUGCAAGUCGAGCGAACAGACGAGGAGCUUGCUCCUCUGACGUUAGCGGCGGACGGGUGAGUAACACGUGGAUAACCUACCUAUAAGACUGGGAUAACUUCGGGAAACCGGCGCUAAUACCGGAUAAUAUAUUGAACCGCAUGGUUCAAUAGUGAAAGACGGUUUUGCUGUCACUUAUAGCUGGAUCCGCGCCGCAUUAGAUAGUUGUGACGGUAACGGCUUACCAAGGCGACCAUGCGUAUCCGACCUGAGAGGGUGAUCGGCCACACUGGAACGGAGCCACGGUCCAUACGCCUACGGGAGGCAGCAGUAGGGAAUCUUCCGCAAUGGGCGAAAGCCUGACGGAGCAACGCCGCGUGAGUGAUGAAGGUCUUCGGAUCGUAAAACUCUGUUAUUAGGGAAGAACAAAUGUGUAAGUAACUAUGCACGUCUUGACGGUACCUAAUCAGAAAGCCACGGCUAACUACGUG